RNAcentral lists this ribosomal RNA (460 nucleotides) under uncultured bacterium. RNAcentral describes it as "partial 16S ribosomal RNA". It matches the Rfam family "Bacterial small subunit ribosomal RNA", at positions 338 to 795 of the family's 1533-position model. The record is from RNAcentral.
CCUACGGGUGACAGCAGUGAGGAAUAUUGGUCAAUGGACGAGAGUCUGAACCAGCCAAGUAGCGUGAAGGAUGACUGCCCUAUGGGUUGUAAACUUCUUUUAUAUGGGAAUAAAAUGUUCCACGUGUGGGAUUUUGUAUGUACCAUAUGAAUAAGGAUCGGCUAACUCCGUGCCAGCAGCCGCGGUAAUACGGAGGAUCCGAGCGUUAUCCGGAUUUAUUGGGUUUAAAGGGAGCGUAGGUGGACUGUUAAGUCAGUUGUGAAAGUUUGCGGCUCAACCGUAAAAUUGCAGUUGAAACUGGCAGUCUUGAGUACAGUAGAGGUGGGCGGAAUUCGUGGUGUAGCGGUGAAAUGCUUAGAUAUCACGAAGAACUCCGAUUGCGAAGGCAGUUCACUGGACUGCAACUGACACUGAGGCUCGAAAGUGUGGGUAUCAAACAGGAUUAGAUACCCUGGUAGUC